This 77-nucleotide transfer RNA is filed under the name Deltaproteobacteria bacterium. RNAcentral's name for it is "tRNA-Lys". It matches the Rfam family "tRNA". From Rfam's summary of the family: Transfer RNA (tRNA) molecules are approximately 80 nucleotides in length. Their secondary structure includes four short double-helical elements and three loops (D, anti-codon, and T loops). Lineage: Bacteria; Pseudomonadati; Myxococcota; Myxococcia. The record is from RNAcentral. RNAcentral also lists the same sequence under 3 other names.
GCGCCGCUAGCUCAACUAGGCAGAGCAAAUGACUCUUAAUCAUUAGGUUGUAGGUUCGAUUCCUACGCGGCGCACCA